GAUACAAAGUGUAAUAUUAACAUAUUUUCAAAUUGUCUUUGCAGAGAAAGAAAUGGAUGAAGAAUAUAUGUAAGAAUCAAAUGGAAAAAUCUAUAACGACAACAGAUAUCUGUAUGAAGCCACCGAAUGUAAGUAUAAACUUGAAAUACUUCAACUUUUCU
Molecule: long non-coding RNA, 161 nt
Organism: Octopus bimaculoides (California two-spot octopus)
Lineage: Eukaryota; Metazoa; Mollusca; Cephalopoda; Octopoda; Octopodidae
Source: RefSeq, a predicted model, not a curated record